AAAAAGUUAAAAAAUACUACCAGAACUCUUUUGCAAACUCUUCUGGUACGCAAAAUAAAAUUUAAAAAAUAUUUAAAAAUAAAAUAAUAAAUUAGUUAAAAAUAUAUAAGGAUAAAAUUGGUACUUUUUAUAAAAUAUAGGGGUACAUGGAUAAAUGUUGGGGGUAUAAAGUAAAGUUUUCUCAAAUUACACGCGCACCCCN
Molecule: long non-coding RNA, 202 nt
Filed under: Lathyrus oleraceus (garden pea)
Lineage: Eukaryota; Viridiplantae; Streptophyta; Magnoliopsida; Fabales; Fabaceae
Description: Pisum sativum (pea) long non-coding RNA (PSAT_LNC040805)
Source: RNAcentral